GGGCGCUUAGCUCAGCGGUAGAGCACUUCCUUCACACGGAAGGGGUCACAAGUUCGAUCCUUGUAGCGCCCACCA
Molecule: transfer RNA, 75 nt
Filed under: Alphaproteobacteria bacterium
Lineage: Bacteria; Pseudomonadati; Pseudomonadota; Alphaproteobacteria
Description: tRNA-Val
Rfam family: tRNA
About the family: Transfer RNA (tRNA) molecules are approximately 80 nucleotides in length. Their secondary structure includes four short double-helical elements and three loops (D, anti-codon, and T loops).
Source: RNAcentral